UGGGCGGCCUGUGCGGGCGGCAGAGCAGGGGCCAACCGUGGGCGGUGGCGCGGGGGACACGUCAUGCGCUGGAGCGCAAGCCCAGCCGCGCCUGGCCUCGUGCGGGCGGCUGAGCAGAGGAGCAGCUGCGGCUAGCCUCGCACGCGCGGCGGAGCGGGGGCCUCGCCAUAGGCGGCGUAGCGGGAGCCUGGCGCCGGCAGCUGCGCGGGGGCCUGGCCUCGGCUCGGGGGCCUCGUCGCGGGAGCGGCAGCGGCAGUGGACGCGAGGCGGCUGCGACUGUUUCUCGUCCCAACCUCGUGCUGCAGAUCCGGCAGUGGCGAGCUCCGUUGGCGUUGUCAGGCCCUCCGCCGGCGACCAUAAGCGGGAAAAUGGGCGCCGCGAGGAGGACGGUGAGCGCAGCGGCGCUACGACACAACUAGAAUUGUAUCUUUUCCUGAGUGUUUCCAAUUUGGUGGCCGACGGUUAACAGCUAACGGUGAGAGUUUCAGACCAUACAGCAUUUGGUCGGUGAUUCAUCACCAGUUUGAAAAUUUGUGAAGAUUCUCGAUCCCCGUCGGUCAUCUGUUGGAAACGCGCAGCAAAACAUGCGAUUCUUGUUGUGGAGCUUCCAGCCGUGGCCCCCGCAAAGCGGCGUGGGAGGAAACCGCGCCCGCCUCAACGCGGUUCUGGCAGUCUUUGCCGCUUGGAGAAUGUGCCGACACUGUUUCGUGUACAAACAAUGUCUUCAUUUUCUCCCUUCUCUCCUCGUUGACUCUCCCGCCGUAUCUUCAUUUACUUAUGUAGCAAUUUAUUUAUUAAUGGUAUGGACACCAGCUGACCUAGAGGGUUUGGCAGUACCCUUUGGUGGCCAUUGUUGCCUGCUUCAGCUAUCGACUCAUCUCGAUAAAAGAUACACUCCGAGAGUUAGAGCCUAGUCCUUGCACACCUCGCUACCAACUACCGGCUAUCAAUGAUACUUAUCCCUGUUUGUUUGAGAUUAUAAUCUAUCUAGAUUAUAUAAGCUAAAUUAUGGGUCAUGGGUACUAUGGUAAAAGAUCAUAUUGGGAUCAUAAAUAAUUUUAAAUAAGCUAGUCUUGGCAGCUUAUUUCAGAUUAUAUGUAGUCCCAUGAUGAUCUUUUACCCUACUACCUUUGAACUAUAAUCUAGCUUAUAUAAUCUAGGAGGGAAAUAAACCAUCACCUAGUAGGUUCCAUCUAUAUAAGAUAUAGAUAUAGAUUUGCCUGCUGCCUAAUUUGAUCUAGGCAGCUAAUACCUGCAUGUCAGCCAAAUUAAUUAAAACAAGAAGCGCCAACGCUUAAUUCCCAUUCAAUUGCAAGUUUUGUAUUUGAGUAAUAACUACUACAAACUUACUACAUGUCGGCUUCUGCAAAUAUUUAUAUUUUUGAAUACACAAAUUCAGUGGAAAUAUUAAAGCAGCAAAUAAAAACAUACAUUUUGAUUCAGCAAGGAUCUGUGUAUUUUCAAGUUGGAAAUUCUAGACCCUAUCUUCCAGCUUAAAUGGCGCAUGUAUCUUCAUGUGCGCAUCUAACAUGGUUUAAAAUUAUUUAACCGGACUUGACUUAGCCAAAACUUUGUUAUCAAUUGGGUCUUUCAAUCUUUUUACUUACACACGAACUAACCAGGAGGACUCUACAUAAUGGAUGCUCGAUCGACUGACUUGACUUUUCGUCCCGGUUGCAUUAAAUAAAUUGGAUAUGUAAUACGUACUUAUCAUAUGGUACUACACAUAGAAACUAUAUUCCUAAUAGAUGGUUUGAUGAAAAUUAAUUCUCGUCCAUUGCCCUAUUUUAUGUCUACUUUCCUCUCCUUAUAUCCCCUCCUUCCUUCCUUCGUUUUCGUGUUGAGUUGGUUUCUUGCUUGAGAAAAUAUUUCCUUCUCCCUCGUCCUUAACUACAUUACCGAAUCAUCAUUCUGCUUACAUGCAGAAACCAUUCAUCCUAGCCAUCCCAUUGGGAUUGCCCCCAAUAGGUUAGACUUUCUCCUUGCAUGCUUUAAUCUUUUAUUUAUGGGUUUGGAGCCUUCAUCAAAGCAUCGAAUGCAAUAAGUUGGAUUGUGUUCCCCUUGCACAGAGAUUCAUAGACUUGUCGAACUCCCACGCCCACCCCUCCACAUAAGCAUAGUGCCCCUACAUUGGGUCUCCUUCCCUCUUCCUUUCCGGCGAGCUGCUGUUAGGAAGAGACAAGGAGGAUCCAUCCCUAUAAUAAAUCUGGUACUUGUUGACGUUUCAUCCAAAUAAAACAUCCAUCUGUCUUCACCUUGGUCAAUAAUGGUAAUGGUGAAUCUUUUGCUAUUGAUGCCGCCUUCUAAAAUAAGAGUCCUCCGGCUCUCUCUUGGGCUCACUAGUGUUCCAUCCGGAACAAGUGAUGCGGUUGCAUUGAUGGAUGGCAGCAUAGGAGCAGGAUCAGGCUUGAGGCACGGUCUUGUCGAUGUUUCUCCAGCGAUUGUAUAGAUUCGUUCGUCAGGAUGGGUGACUAGUCUGGUCUUAAAAAGCUUUUAUGUGAUUGGAAUUUAUCCAUGACUUAUUUCGUUGCUCUGUGCAGAGAAAUGAGCAGUAGUUUCGGGAAGUCACGCGAUUUUGCACGCAAAAUAUACGUGUGCGCGGGAUUUGAACCCACAACUUCAAGCCUCGCGUGUAGCUUUCUUACCAUCUCAUCUACACAGCACAUCUAACUAAGUAGGGGAUACAAUCCUUUUGCAGUAACUCGUGAGGGACCCUUUAGUACCAAUCGGGACUAAAGGUGUCUCCACGAACUUCGAAAUUUAGACUCGGGACUGAAGCCUCUUUAAUCCUGGAUAAAAACAAUCAAGAUUUUUAUUAAGGAUGUAAUAAUGUCGUUUUUUCACUAGUGCUGUCUAUUUAUCCUCUCUUCCACUAGCGGCAGGAUCGGCUGUGAUAGAGUAUAGCAUAUGGUGGCCAUGGUUGCAAUAGAUACCGUGGAGAAGACAUCUUUAUCUAAUUUAUUGUAGUUUUCUUUUUUGGCAUGACCUAUUAUGGAUUGGUUCAUGUAUCUCCAUAUAGGUCAUAUUAACUCGAUCUGAACUUGAUGCCUGUGAAUUUAAUGAUGCGCUUGUUGAUCAAUGUUGGGUGGUCUCAACAGCAAAAGAAUCCAUCAGCAUGCCUUGUUCCAUUAAUCGAGAUUAUGUUUCCUUCACCGCAAAUGCCAUUCGUUUGGCAAUGGUAUUUGUUCCCACUCAAUCUGUUAUCCUUUAAGACAACCUGUUAACCCAGCAUAUACCAAACUAACGCAUACUACAUCUUAUUUCAGAUACGUUAGAGGGAGAAUCAGUCAACCAUAAACAUCAAUGUAGAAUAUAAACACUCUGUUAGUUAAAUGCCACUGCUUUCGAAAUCUCAACCUCCUCUUCAUCCCUGUUGACAUAUUUCUGCCAGUCACACCAUGAUACGAAGAGAUUUUUUUCUGUUAGUACAGGGCAAGCUAGCCACUGCCAGGAUCCAAAGUCAGUAUGGCAUCGAAGAGUAAAGUAUAGUAAAACGUAAUAUUCAUAGAUUAAAAAAAGUUUGCGAGGUUUUCAUCUCUUUGAUGCAAUGUCACUGUCGCCCCAACUAACGUCACAUGUGAUGGAGUUAUGGAGACACUUGACCAGUUAAUGCUGGACAACCCCUCGAAGGCAGUUUCUCAUAUGAGAAAGUGUUUGGUUGACCAGUUUUAAUGCCCCAAAACUAACGUAGGUGUGUGGGUAGACUAUUUCAUCUCAUGCUGCACGAUCAAGGGAACUGUUUAUUACCUUUUAAAUUUUUGAACCUUAGGCUCCAGCAAAAAAAAA
RNAcentral lists this long non-coding RNA (3786 nucleotides) under Setaria viridis. RNAcentral describes it as "long non-coding RNA (SVIR_LNC008902)". Lineage: Eukaryota; Viridiplantae; Streptophyta; Magnoliopsida; Poales; Poaceae. The record is from RNAcentral.